GAUGAACGCUGGCGGCGUGCCUAACACAUGCUAGUCGAGCGAUUCUCUUCGGAGAAGAGCGGCGGACGGGUGAGUAACGCGUGGGUAACCUGCCCUGUACACACGGAUAACAUACCGAAAGGUAUGCUAAUACGGGAUAACAUAAGAAAUUCGCAUGUUUUUCUUAUCAAAGCUCCGGCGGUACAGGAUGGACCCGCGUCUGAUUAGCUAGUUGGUGAGGUGACGGCUCACCAAGGCGACGAUCAGUAGCCGACCUGAGAGGGUGAUCGGCCACAUUGGAACUGAGACACGGUCCAAACUCCUACGGGAGGCAGCAGUGGGGAAUAUUGCACAAUGGGCGAAAGCCUGAUGCAGCAACGCCGCGUGAGCGAUGAAGGCCUUCGGGUCGUAAAGCUCUGUCCUCAAGGAAGAUAAUGACGGUACUUGAGGAGGAAGCCCCGGCUAACUACGUGCCAGCCGCCGCAGUAA
This 468-nucleotide ribosomal RNA is filed under the name uncultured bacterium. RNAcentral's name for it is "partial 16S ribosomal RNA". It matches the Rfam family "Bacterial small subunit ribosomal RNA", at positions 28 to 523 of the family's 1533-position model. The record is from RNAcentral.